This 69-nucleotide transfer RNA is filed under the name Ictidomys tridecemlineatus (thirteen-lined ground squirrel). RNAcentral describes it as "Spermophilus tridecemlineatus (thirteen-lined ground squirrel) tRNA". It matches the Rfam family "tRNA". From Rfam's summary of the family: Transfer RNA (tRNA) molecules are approximately 80 nucleotides in length. Their secondary structure includes four short double-helical elements and three loops (D, anti-codon, and T loops). Further hydrogen bonds mediate the characteristic L-shaped molecular structure. tRNAs have two regions of fundamental functional importance: the anti-codon, which is responsible for specific mRNA codon recognition, and the 3' end, to which the tRNAs corresponding amino acid is attached (by aminoacyl-tRNA synthetases). tRNAs cope with the degeneracy of the genetic code in two manners: having more than one tRNA (with a specific anti-codon) for a particular amino acid; and 'wobble' base-pairing, i.e. permitting non-standard base-pairing at the 3rd anti-codon position. Lineage: Eukaryota; Metazoa; Chordata; Mammalia; Rodentia; Sciuridae. The record is from Rfam by way of RNAcentral.
GGGGUUGUGGCUCAGUGAUAGAGCACUUGCCUAGCACAUGCAAGUCGCUGGGUUCAAUCCUCAGCCCCA